This 84-nucleotide transfer RNA is filed under the name Oscillospiraceae bacterium. Its description in RNAcentral is "tRNA-Leu". It matches the Rfam family "tRNA". From Rfam's summary of the family: Transfer RNA (tRNA) molecules are approximately 80 nucleotides in length. Their secondary structure includes four short double-helical elements and three loops (D, anti-codon, and T loops). Further hydrogen bonds mediate the characteristic L-shaped molecular structure. tRNAs have two regions of fundamental functional importance: the anti-codon, which is responsible for specific mRNA codon recognition, and the 3' end, to which the tRNAs corresponding amino acid is attached (by aminoacyl-tRNA synthetases). tRNAs cope with the degeneracy of the genetic code in two manners: having more than one tRNA (with a specific anti-codon) for a particular amino acid; and 'wobble' base-pairing, i.e. permitting non-standard base-pairing at the 3rd anti-codon position. Lineage: Bacteria; Bacillati; Bacillota; Clostridia; Eubacteriales; Oscillospiraceae. The record is from RNAcentral.
GCACCCGUGGUGGAAUGGCAGACACGGCGGUCUUAGGAGCCGCUCCGAUUUCGGGUGGGGGUUCAAGUCCCCCCGGGUGCACCA